AGAGUUUGAUCAUGGCUCAGGAUGAACGCUAGCGGGAGGCCUAACACAUGCAAGCCGAGCGGUAUUGUUUCUUCGGAAAUGAGAGAGCGGCGUACGGGUGCGGAACACGUGUGUAACCUGCCUUUAUCUGGGGGAUAGCCUUUCGAAAGGAAGAUUAAUACUCCAUAAUAUAUUGAACGGCAUCGUUUAAUAUUGAAAGCUCCGGCGGAUAGAGAUGGGCACGCGCAAGAUUAGCUAGUUGGUGAGGUAACGGCUCACCAAGGCGAUGAUCUUUAGGGGCCUGAGAGGGUGAUCCCCCACACUGGUACUGAGACACGGACCAGACUCCUACGGGAGGCAGCAGUGAGGAAUAUUGGUCAAUGGGUGCAAGCCUGAACCAGCCAUCCCGCGUGAAGGACGACUGCCCUAUGGGUUGUAAACUUCUUUUGUAUAGGGAUAAACCUACCCUCGUGAGGGUAGCUGAAGGUACUAUACGAAUAAGCACCGGCUAACUCCGUG
This 498-nucleotide ribosomal RNA is filed under the name uncultured bacterium. Its description in RNAcentral is "bacterial SSU rRNA". It matches the Rfam family "Bacterial small subunit ribosomal RNA", at positions 8 to 507 of the family's 1533-position model. The record is from RNAcentral.